AGCUUUGCGCAGUGGCAGUAUCGUAGCCAAUGAGGUUUAUCCGAGGCGUGAUUAUUGCUAAUUGGAUAUGAUUAUUCUAACUAUUUUUAUUCUUUCAUAUUGUCAUUUAUUUUGCUCUCAUUCUUUUAAAAGUAACUUUGAAUUAUUAAAUAUGUUAAAGACACAGAAAAGCACAACCAGUAACA
RNAcentral lists this small nuclear RNA (185 nucleotides) under Zalophus californianus (California sea lion). Its description in RNAcentral is "U4 spliceosomal RNA (ENSZCAG00015025109.1)". The stretch from base 1 to 163 matches the Rfam family "U4 spliceosomal RNA". From Rfam's summary of the family: U4 small nuclear RNA (U4 snRNA) is a component of the major U2-dependent spliceosome. The structure of U4 snRNA from yeast and human has been reported. The record is from RNAcentral. Lineage: Eukaryota; Metazoa; Chordata; Mammalia; Carnivora; Otariidae.